AGCAGCCGCGGUAAUUCCAGCUCCAAUAGCGUAUAUUAAAGUUGUUGCAGUUAAAAAGCUCGUAGUUGAAUUUCGGGGUCAGCAGGUCGGUCGUGCCACUGGUAUGCACUGGCCUUGCUGAUUCCUCCCUCUUGAUGAGCCGUAAUGCCAUUAAUUUGGUGUUGCGGGGAAUCAGGACUGUUACUUUGAAAAAAUUAGAGUGUUUAAAGCAGGCAAGCGCUUGAAUACAUUAGCAUGGAAUAAUGAAAUAGGACGUUCGAUCCUAUUUUGUUGGUUUCUAGGAUUGACGUAAUGAUUAAUAGGGAUAGUUGGGGGCAUUAGUAUUCAAUUGUCAGAGGUGAAAUUCUUGGAUUUAUUGAAGACUAGCUACUGCGAAGGCAUUUGCCAAGGAUGUUUUCAUUAAUCAAGAACGAAAGUUAGGGGAUCGAAGACGAUCAGAUACCGUCGUAGUCUUAACCAUAAACUAUGCCGACUAGGGAUCGGAUGAUGUUAAUUUUUUAAUGACUCAUUCGGCGCCUUACG
This 522-nucleotide ribosomal RNA is filed under the name uncultured Glomus. RNAcentral's name for it is "SSU rRNA". It matches the Rfam family "Eukaryotic small subunit ribosomal RNA", at positions 569 to 1092 of the family's 1831-position model. The record is from RNAcentral. Lineage: Eukaryota; Fungi; Glomeromycota; Glomeromycetes; Glomerales; Glomeraceae.